CAUCACUGAGAGAGAAGGGACACAUCACUGAGAGAGAUGGACACAUCAUUGAAAGAGAAAAUGGACACAUCACUGAGAGAGAAGGGACACAUCACUGAGAUGUCACCAUUCUCUACCCUAAAGAGGCCAAAAAUGACACAUCGAGGAAAGCUUUUAAACAGAAACUACUAAAGGGGAGGCCAGAAACACUUUUUGCAGACCUCUACAAAAACGGUGACGUGAGUAAUCUCAUCUUCCUCACUGACCAGCCAAAUGCAUGGCACUCAGCAAUCUGCUCUCACUAUCAAUCCAUAAAGAAAGAGGGAAUCUGUAAUGGGUGGAAGCUGAUAAUCAAAGAGACAGAUGACCCUAACAGCACCAUGAUAACAAUCAACCUCUACAAGACUGCAAGGCAACAUUGGUGCAAGGCAACAUUAGGCUGUUAGAAACAGACUUUCAGACCAUGAAGGAGAGAGCAGAGAGAGAGAAGGACACCACCAGUGACAUGCCCUCCCACAAGACAAACUCCACCAGCACCACUCUCACCUCUACUCUCCCCACCCAAAAAGGCACAUCCAGCACCAUAGUGGAGGACAAGCCCCAGGAGGAGAGCGACCCCCUCAGUGCAGAGCAGGCUCAGGCCCUCCUUACCACCAUCAAUCAAUCAAUCAAUCAAUUUUAUUUAUAUAGCCCUUCGUACAUCAGCUGAUAUCUCAAAGUGCUGUACAGAAACCCAGCCUAAAACCCCAAACAGCAAGCAAUGCAGGUGUAGAAGCACGGUGGCUAGGAAAAACUCCCUAGAAAGGCCAAAACCUAGGAAGAAACCUAGAGAGGAACCAGGCUAUGUGGGGUGGCCAGUCCUCUUCUGUGCCGGGUGGAGAUUAUAACAGAACAUGGCCAAGAUGUUCAAAUGUUCAUAAAUGACCAGCAUGGUCGAAUAAUAACAAGGCAGAACAGUUGAAACUGGAGCAGCAGCACAGUCAGGUGGAAUGGGGACAGCAAGGAGUCAUCAUGUCAGGUCGUCCUGGGGCACGGUCCUUGGGCUCAGGUCCUCCGAGAGAGAGAAAGAAAGGAGAGAAUUAGAGAACGCACACUUAGAUUCACACAGGACACCGAAUAGGACAGGAGAAUUACUCCAGAUAUAACAAACUGACCCUAGCCCCCCGACACAAACUACUGCAGCAUAAAUACUGGAGGCUGAGACAGGAGGGGUCAGGAGACACUGUGGCCCCAUCCGAGGACACCCCCGGACAGGGCCAAACAGGAAGGAUAUAACCA
Molecule: long non-coding RNA, 1257 nt
Organism: Oncorhynchus keta (chum salmon)
Lineage: Eukaryota; Metazoa; Chordata; Actinopteri; Salmoniformes; Salmonidae
Exons: 2
Source: RefSeq, a predicted model, not a curated record